CUUGCUUCUCUUGAGAGCGGCGGACGGGUGAGUAAUGCCUAGGAAUCUGCCUGGUAGUGGGGGAUAACGUUCGGAAACGGACGCUAAUACCGCAUACGUCCUACGGGAGAAAGCAGGGGACCUUCGGGCCUUGCGCUAUCAGAUGAGCCUAGGUCGGAUUAGCUAGUUGGUGGGGUAAUGGCUCACCAAGGCUACGAUCCGUAACUGGUCUGAGAGGAUGAUCAGUCACACUGGAACUGAGACACGGUCCAGACUCCUACGGGAGGCAGCAGUGGGGAAUAUUGGACAAUGGGCGAAAGCCUGAUCCAGCCAUGCCGCGUGUGUGAAGAAGGUCUUCGGAUUGUAAAGCACUUUAAGUUGGGAGGAAGGGUUGUAGAUUAAUACUCUGCAAUUUUGACGUUACCGACAGAAUAAGCACCGGCUAACUCUGUGCCAGCAGCCGCGGUAAUACAGAGGGUGCAAGCGUUAAUCGGAAUUACUGGGCGUAAAGCGCGCGUAGGUGGUUUGUUAAGUUGGAUGUGAAAUCCCCGGGCUCAACCUGGGAACUGCAUUCAAAACUGACUGACUAGAGUAUGGUAGAGGGUGGUGGAAUUUCCUGUGUAGCGGUGAAAUGCGUAGAUAUAGGAAGGAACACCAGUGGC
RNAcentral lists this ribosomal RNA (641 nucleotides) under uncultured bacterium. Its description in RNAcentral is "bacterial SSU rRNA". It matches the Rfam family "Bacterial small subunit ribosomal RNA", at positions 79 to 716 of the family's 1533-position model. The record is from RNAcentral.